CUCCGACCAUAGUGACGACUAACACUCUUGAUGGAUGUGUCCAUUGGAUUUUGACUUGUGAUUCGGUGUUGAAGUGAUAACGCUUGAAACAGUAUCUCUCAAGCACCGAUUGUUUGCAGGCUUUACGUCGCCCGGAAGAUUUGCUAAAGAAGAGAUUAAAAGAACGGUUUUCUUUCUUAUAUGGCGUUCUUUUUCGACUUGGUAUCAUCAAAUUAGCC
This is a non-coding RNA of Paramuricea clavata, 218 nucleotides long. NCBI's taxonomy places the organism in Eukaryota, Metazoa, Cnidaria, Anthozoa, Malacalcyonacea, Plexauridae. The record is from the annotation of a GenBank genome assembly.